AGUGAACGCUGGCGGUAGGCCUAACACAUGCAAGUCGAACGGCAGCACAGUAAGAGCUUGCUCUUACGGGUGGCGAGUGGCGGACGGGUGAGGAAUACAUCGGAAUCUACCUUUUCGUGGGGGAUAACGUAGGGAAACUUACGCUAAUACCGCAUACGACCUACGGGUGAAAGCAGGGGAUCUUCGGACCUUGCGCGAUUGAAUGAGCCGAUGUCGGAUUAGCUAGUUGGCGGGGUAAAGGCCCACCAAGGCGACGAUCCGUAGCUGGUCUGAGAGGAUGAUCAGCCACACUGGAACUGAGACACGGUCCAGACUCCUACGGGAGGCAGCAGGGGGGAAUAUUGGACAAUGGGCGCAAGCCUGAUCCAGCCAUACCGCGUGGGUGAAGAAGGCCUUCGGGUUGUAAAGCCCUUUUGUUGGGAAAGAAAAGCAGCAGGUUAAUACCCCGCUGUUCUGACGGUACCCAAAGAAUAAGCACCGGCUAACUUCGUG
RNAcentral lists this ribosomal RNA (492 nucleotides) under uncultured bacterium. Its description in RNAcentral is "partial 16S ribosomal RNA". It matches the Rfam family "Bacterial small subunit ribosomal RNA", at positions 29 to 507 of the family's 1533-position model. The record is from RNAcentral.